ACGUAGGGUGCGAGCGUUAAUCGGAAUUACUGGGCGUAAAGCGAGCGCAGACGGUUAUUUAAGCAAGAUGUGAAAGCCCCGGGCUCAACCUGGGAACUGCGUUUUGAACUGGGUAACUAGAGUGUGUCAGAGGGGGGUAGAAUUCCACGUGUAGCAGUGAAAUGCGUAGAGAUGUGGAGGAAUACCGAUGGCGAAGGCAGCCCCCUGGGAUAACACUGACGUUCAUGCUCGAAAGCGUGGGUAGCAAACAGGAUUAGAUACCCUGGUAGUCCACGCCCUAAACGAUGUCAAUUAGCUGUUGGGGUACAUGAUGCCUUAGUAGCGUAGCUAACGCGUGAAAUUGACCGCCUGGGGAGUACGGUCGCAAGAUUA
Molecule: ribosomal RNA, 372 nt
Filed under: uncultured bacterium
Lineage: Bacteria
Description: bacterial SSU rRNA
Rfam family: Bacterial small subunit ribosomal RNA
Source: RNAcentral